RNAcentral lists this ribosomal RNA (253 nucleotides) under uncultured bacterium. Its description in RNAcentral is "partial 16S ribosomal RNA". It matches the Rfam family "Bacterial small subunit ribosomal RNA", at positions 524 to 776 of the family's 1533-position model. The record is from RNAcentral.
UACGUAGGGUGCAAGCGUUAAUCGGAAUUACUGGGCGUAAAGCGUGCGCAGGCGGUUUUGUAAGUCUGACGUGAAAUCCCCGGGCUCAACCUGGGAAUUGCGUUGGAGACUGCAAGGCUGGAGUCUGGCAGAGGGGGGUAGAAUUCCACGUGUGGCAGUGGAAUGCGUAGAGAUGUGGAGGAACACCGAUGGCGAAGGCAGCCCCCUGGGUCAAGACUGACGCUCAUGCACGAAAGCGUGGGGAGCAAACAGG